RNAcentral lists this ribosomal RNA (481 nucleotides) under uncultured bacterium. RNAcentral describes it as "partial 16S ribosomal RNA". It matches the Rfam family "Bacterial small subunit ribosomal RNA", at positions 28 to 507 of the family's 1533-position model. The record is from RNAcentral.
GAUGAACGCUGGCGGCGUGCUUAACACAUGCAAGUCGAACGAAACACCUUAUUUGAUUUUCUUCGGAACUGAUGAUGUGGUGAUUGAGUGGCGGACGGGCGAGUAAAGCGUGGGUAACCUGCCCUGUACAGGGGGAUAACAGUCAGAAAUGACUGCUAAUACCGCAUAAUACCACAGCACCGCAUGGUGCAGGGGUAAAAACUCCGGUGGUACAGGAUGGACCCGCGUCGGAUUAGCUGGUUGGUGAGGUAACGGCUCACCAAGGCGACGAUCAGUAGCCGGCUUGAGAGAGUGAACAGCCACAUUGGGACUGAGACACGGCCCAAACUCCUACGGGAAGCAGCAGUGGGGAAUAUUGCACAAUGGGGGAAACCCUGAUGCAGCGACGCCGCGUGAGUGAAGAAGUAUUUCGGUAUGUAAAGCUCUAUCAGCAGGGAAGAAAAUGACGGUACCUGAAUAAGAAGCCCCGGCUAACUACGUG